UACGUAGGGUGCAAGCGUUAAUCGGAAUUACUGGGCGUAAAGCGUGCGCAGGCGGUUUUGUAAGUCUGUUGUGAAAUCCCCGGGCUUAACCUGGGAAUGGCAAUGGAGACUGCAAGGCUAGAGUUUGGCAGAGGGGGGUAGAAUUCCACGUGUAGCAGUGAAAUGCGUAGAUAUGUGGAGGAACACCGAUGGCGAAGGCAGCCCCCUGGGUCAAAACUGACGCUCAUGCACGAAAGCGUGGGGAGCAAACAGG
RNAcentral lists this ribosomal RNA (253 nucleotides) under uncultured bacterium. RNAcentral describes it as "partial 16S ribosomal RNA". It matches the Rfam family "Bacterial small subunit ribosomal RNA", at positions 524 to 776 of the family's 1533-position model. The record is from RNAcentral.